GACGAACGCUGGCGGCGUGCCUAAUACAUGCGAGUCGAACGAGAGCGACCGGUGCUUGCACUGGUCAAUCUAGUGGCGAACGGGUGAGUAACACGUGGGUAACCUGCCCAUCAGAGGGGGAUAACAUCCGGAAACGGAUGCUAAAACCGCAUAGGUCUUCGAACCGCAUGGUUUGAAGAGGAAAAGAGGCGCAAGCUUCUGCUGAUGGAUGGACCCGCGGUGCAUUAGCUAGUUGGUGAGGUAACGGCUCACCAAGGCCGUGAUGCAUAGCCGACCUGAGAGGGUGAUCGGCCACAUUGGAACUGAGACACGGCCCAAACUCCUACGGGAGGCAGCAGUAGGGAAUCUUCCGCAAUGGACGCAAGUCUGACGGAGCAACGCCGCGUGAGUGAAGAAGGUUUUCGGAUCGUAAAACUCUGUUGUUAGAGAAGAACAAGUGCUAGAGUAACUGUUAGCGCCUUGACGGUAUCUAACCAGAAAGCCACGGCUAACUACGUG
This 498-nucleotide ribosomal RNA is filed under the name uncultured bacterium. RNAcentral describes it as "partial 16S ribosomal RNA". It matches the Rfam family "Bacterial small subunit ribosomal RNA", at positions 28 to 507 of the family's 1533-position model. The record is from RNAcentral.